GAUGAACGCUGGCGGCGUGCCUAAUACAUGCAAGUCGAGCGAACAGACGAGGAGCUUGCUCCUCUGACGUUAGCGGCGGACGGGCGAGUAACACGUGGAUAACCUACCUAUAAGACUGGGAUAACUUCGGGAAACCGGAGCUAAUACCGGAUAAUAUAUUGAACCGCAUGGUUCAAUAGUGAGAGACGGUUUUGCUGUCACUUAUAGAUGGAUCCGCGCCGCAUUAGCUAGUUGGUAAGGUAACGGCUUACCAAGGCAACGAUGCGUAGCCGACCUGAGAGGGUGAUCGGCCACACUGGAACUGAGACACGGUCCAGACUCCUACGGGAGGCAGCAGUAGGGAAUCUUCCGCAAUGGGCGAAAGCCUGACGGAGCAACGCCGCGUGAGUGAUGAAGGUCUUCGGAUCGUAAAACUCUGUUAUUAGGGAAGAACAAAUGUGUAAGUAACUAUGCACGUCUUGACGGUACCUAAUCAGAAAGCCACGGCUAACUACGUG
RNAcentral lists this ribosomal RNA (497 nucleotides) under uncultured bacterium. Its description in RNAcentral is "partial 16S ribosomal RNA". It matches the Rfam family "Bacterial small subunit ribosomal RNA", at positions 28 to 507 of the family's 1533-position model. The record is from RNAcentral.